This 254-nucleotide ribosomal RNA is filed under the name uncultured bacterium. Its description in RNAcentral is "partial 16S ribosomal RNA". It matches the Rfam family "Bacterial small subunit ribosomal RNA", at positions 524 to 776 of the family's 1533-position model. The record is from RNAcentral.
UACGUAGGGUGCGAGCGUUGUCCGGAAUUAUUGGGCGUAAAGAGCUCGUAGGCGGUGUGUCACGUCGGCCGUGAAAACCUGCAGCUUAACUGUGGGCGUGCGGUCGAUACGGGCAUCACUGGAGUUCGGCAGGGGAGACUGGAAUUCCUGGUGUAGCGGUGGAAUGCGCAGAUAUCAGGAGGAACACCGGUGGCGAAGGCGGGUCUCUGGGCAAUUCCUGACGCUGAGGCGCGAAAGCGUGGGGAGCAAACGGG